Molecule: ribosomal RNA, 460 nt
Filed under: uncultured bacterium
Lineage: Bacteria
Description: partial 16S ribosomal RNA
Rfam family: Bacterial small subunit ribosomal RNA
Source: RNAcentral
CCUACGGGAGGCAGCAGUGAGGAAUAUUGGUCAAUGGACGAGAGUCUGAACCAGCCAAGUAGCGUGAAGGAUGACUGCCCUAUGGGUUGUAAACUUCUUUUAUAUGGGAAUAAAAUGUUCCACGUGUGGGAUUUUGUAUGUACCAUAUGAAUAAGGAUCGGCUAACUCCGUGCCAGCAGCCGCGGUAAUACGGAGGAUCCGAGCGUUAUCCGGAUUUAUUGGGUUUAAAGGGAGCGUAGGUGGAUUGUUAAGUCAGGUGUGAAAGUUUGCGGCUCAACCGUAAAAUUGCAGUUGAAACUGGCAGUCUUGAGUACAGUAGAGGUGGGCGGAAUUCGUGGUGUAGCGGUGAAAUGCUUAGAUAUCACGAAGAACUCCGAUUGCGAAGGCAGUUCACUGGACUGCAACUGACACUGAGGCUCGAAAGUGUGGGUAUCAAACAGGAUUAGAUACCCCAGUAGUC